UUCAAAUCCAGGAGAGAGAGUGAGAGAUUGUGGAUCAAAGCUUUUAUUCCUCCCCCGACGAAUAACCCAUAUCUCGUUCUGUGUAGUUUUAGGGAGAGGUAAUAGUGAGUGGAUCUCCCCCGUUCUUCCUUAUUGUGUGUGAUUGAUUGAGAUUGCUGUGUGGCCAAAAAACCAAAAACAAAACCACCCCCGCAGCUGUUUUAAGUAAAUGAAAGUAAGAUCGGCAGAGAGCGCUGGACCCAGCUAGUGGGCAAGCCUGUGUUAGAGUCUCAGCCCGUGUAUGCUCGGUGCUUUACCUAAGGGCUGUCGGAUGAUGAUGUAACUUUGUGUAGGACUUCUCCGAGUACCGGUGGAAAGCAGAGGGGCGUCUUUUCCCCCCGCCGUGCGGGAAAGCAGGAACUAAGCGAUUAGCACGGACGGUGGGUGAGGAUGACUCGGAUGAGGGCUGUUUGUUUCAAACCCGCCACAUUUUAUAGAGUGUGUGACUGUGUUUCGGCUCCGAUCCCCCGUCGCCUGUGCCUCUUGCACUGAUUUCUCCUCCGCUUUGGAGAGUGGGGAAGGGAAGGGAACAAUAAAAACACCCCAAACUACUUUCCUUUCCCUUUUUGUGAAAUUAGCAGCUUCUAAAAAUAGGGGAUCUGUCCAGACAAGGCGCUUGAGGAUUAAGAGAGGAAGCUAAAGGAAGAGACUCAAGAGGCUGGCUGCAGUGGCUUUUUCAGACUCUCUCUCUGUGUGUGUGUUGUGCGUUUGCACCGGUCUGUCAGUUGCAUGCAUUACAAGAGGUUCCUUUGGACACACAAACACAGGCACCCACACGAUAACUCUCGGAUGUUUAUUCUUAGCAAAUAGAGAGAGUGGAGCGGACUCUCCUGGAAGGGGACCAGCCGCCUCAUGACCAGCAAAGGGAUUUCACCUCGUCCUUGAGAGAGAGACACAGAGAGAGCGCAAAGGGAAGAGAUCAACUCCAUAUCCAUCUCCGGUGCCCUCCCCUCUCCCCCCCCAACCCUGUAUCACUUAGCAUCCCACGCCAAGAGGAGACAUUAAAGAGACCGGCCUUCCUCUUGCUGAUGACCGUGUUCCUGCUUGAUCCUGUUUACAAGAUUCCAAAGGUUGAAAAUAACCCCAGCUCCUCAGCAUUGGGUAGGAAAACA
Non-coding RNA from Chrysemys picta bellii (western painted turtle), 1151 nucleotides. NCBI's taxonomy places the organism in Eukaryota, Metazoa, Chordata, Testudines, Emydidae. The record is from RefSeq and is a predicted model, not a curated record.